Molecule: small RNA, 713 nt
Filed under: Danio rerio (zebrafish)
Lineage: Eukaryota; Metazoa; Chordata; Actinopteri; Cypriniformes; Danionidae
Description: gas5-011
Source: RNAcentral
UUUUUGUGUUGCAGAUUUUCUGACUUAAAAUGGAGAUGAAUGACCCGUCAUUAAAGUAGUCUUCAUGGUGAGUGCACAUUUAAAGUGUUGUAACCGAAGCAAAAGUGGUCUCAAGCUGAUGAGUGUGAAUCAGGUCUCUGAUCUCAUUGAGGACAUGGAAGCAUUUCUGAUUUAAGACUGAUUAGAAGUGAGCUUUACCACCUCAAGCUAGGUAGAUUUUAAUGGGUUGAAUCUUGUUUUAGGACUCCCAUCCAGUAUCUUCAUGACUGCCAUCCUUGUAAGUAUUGCUCUUUGUAGUGGAGUCCUUCAGAUCUUGACUAGUGUGAUGAAUCUGAUGUCCACUGACUUAAGCCAUGGAGGAUGGAUAUUAGCUCUGUCUGAUCUGGUCCCGUCUAAAUUCUGAGCCUCAUUGUGAAUGUUUUGUUCUAACAGGUGUCUUGUUGACAGGUACAGUGGCCAGCUCUCCAUAGUGCAAUAUGAAGAAUGUUACUUGGAGGUGUCCAAAGGGCUUCAGCCUCUGCAGUUUUGAAAAGGGAUGAAGUUGAGUUCAUCUGGUUGACUUUUUGGGUGAAGUUUCAGUUGCCCCUCCCUUUGUUCAAAGGGCCUCAUCCUCUGUAAAAGAAUGAAGUUGUGUGCAUCUGCUUGACUGAGGAUUUUUUUCAAUGGAAAUGUGUUUUUUUUUUUUAUGACUUUAAUAAAUUGCUAUUAAUCUG